RNAcentral lists this ribosomal RNA (225 nucleotides) under uncultured bacterium. RNAcentral describes it as "partial 16S ribosomal RNA". It matches the Rfam family "Bacterial small subunit ribosomal RNA", at positions 524 to 743 of the family's 1533-position model. The record is from RNAcentral.
UACGUAGGGUGCAAGCGUUAAUCGGAAUUACUGGGCGUAAAGCGUGCGCAGGCGGUUUUGUAAGCCAGAUGUGAAAGCCCCGGGCGUCAACCUGGGAACGUGCGUUUGGUAACUACAAGACUAGAGUGUGUCAGAGGGGGGUGGGAAUUCCGCGUGUAGCAGUGAAAUGCGUAGAGAUGCGGAGGAACACCGAUGGCGAAGGCAGCCCCCUCGGGUAGUAACUAC